AAGCAUAUCAAUAAGCGGAGGAAAAGAAACUAACAAGGAUUCCCCUAGUAACUGCGAGUGAAGCGGGAAAAGCUCAAAUUUAAAAUCUAAUAGUUUUUAACUAUUCGAGUUGUAAUCUGGAGAAGUGUUUUCCGUGCUGGACCGUGUAUAAGUCUCUUGGAAUAGAGCGUCAUAGAGGGUGAGAAUCCCGUCUUUGACACGGACUACCAGUGCUUUGUGAUGCACUCUCAAAGAGUCGAGUUGUUUGGGAAUGCAGCUCAAAAUGGGUGGUAAAUUCCAUCUAAAGCUAAAUAUUGGCGAGAGACCGAUAGCGAACAAGUACCGUGAGGGAAAGAUGAAAAGCACUUUGGAAAGAGAGUUAAACAGUACGUGAAAUUGCUGAAAGGGAAACGCUUGAAGUCAGUCGCGUUGACUAGAACUCAGCCUGGCUUCGGCUUGGUGUAUUUUCUAGUUUGACGGGCCAGCAUCAGUUUUGACUGCUAGAAAAAGACUAGAGAAAUGUGGCACCUCCGGGUGUGUUAUAGUCUCUAGUUGUAUAUAGUGGUUGGGACUGAGGUUUGCAGCACGCCUUUAUGGUUGGGGUUUUUUUAACCUACAUUCGUGCUUAGGAUGCUGGCAUAAUGGCUUUAAACGACCCGUCUUGAAACACGGACCAAGGAGUCUAACAUGCCUGCGAGUGUUUGAGUGGUAAACUCAAGCGCGUAAUGAAAGUGAAAGUUGGGAUCUCUGUCGUGGAGAGCACCGACGCCCGGACCAGACCUACUGUGACGGAUCCGCGGUAGAGCAUGUAUGUUGGGACCCGAAAGAUGGUGAACUAUGCCUGAAUAGGGUGAAGCCAGAGGAAACUCUGGUGGAGGCUCGUAGCGAUUCUGACGUGCAAAUCGAUCGUCAAAUUUGGGUAUAGGGGCGAAAGACUAAUCGAACCAUCUAGUAGCUGGUUCCUGCCGA
This 948-nucleotide ribosomal RNA is filed under the name Hypochnella violacea. RNAcentral's name for it is "partial 28S ribosomal RNA". It matches the Rfam family "Eukaryotic large subunit ribosomal RNA", at positions 36 to 964 of the family's 3401-position model. Lineage: Eukaryota; Fungi; Basidiomycota; Agaricomycetes. The record is from RNAcentral.